UUUUUUUUUUUUUUUUUUUUUUUGAGUGGGACAAGAAUACAAUCUGCGUUAUAAAGCCAUUUCCGUUAUAUUGACAGUUAUUCAUUCCUAAAAGAAAUAUAUCUAAUAUUUAUAAACGAUAUUACUGAUUUAUGUAUAUGGAUUUAGUAGUGACUCCGAAAUCCAUUUUUAUGCAUUUUAGUCAACAUACUGUUAUGUACUACAACAAAUAAAUGCAAAGCGCCAAAUAUAGAGAAUAUAUAUGGUCUUAUGUGUAUGCGGAUUACAGUUGCGCCAUAUCUUUUAGCUACCUUGAAUGGGAUGUAAAUGUUUAAAUAAAAAAUACAUUAAUUUACAGUAUUUCAGUAAAAUUAAACAUUUGUAAUGGAUAAUUUGUUUGACGCCGUACACAUUCGUUAAGUUGCCAGAUUUCAGUCUGUGCGGUGCGUUUGGAGAUUCCAGCGCUUUUAAAGAGACUUUUUUUUGGGGGGGAGGGUAGACGAGUUACAUCAUGUUCGCGUUGUUAUUUAAUUUUAGACAACUCCCGCGUAAUAUCCGAAAUCACACUCUGUCUAGAUGCAGCAGCGUAAAAACAUUUUUUGCAUUCUCGUCAUACAAGUGCAGCAUUUACCAAGAUCUACGAACUAAAAAAAAAAAAAAAAAAAAAAAAAAAAAGAGGCCUGUCAAGAUUUUCUGUAAUUUUUAAUUCCAGGUUUGCAUCAAUUAAAGUGCACUUUCCCUAAAAGCUAUCAGCUCUUUGGAAGGUUACAAGGUCGCGUCAUUCUUGUAUCUCAUCGCUUCCUGUUGAGAACAAGGAAGCAUUCGAUCGUUAUUGAAUUGGUUGUGGCCGAACUCCACAAACUUUCAUUAAAGGAAUAUUCCGUUGACGUUUUGAUGUUGCGUCUUCCAUCGGAAAGACUUUUCCUAGUUAUGGCGUAAUUUGUUGGAGGAAAAAUGACGUUAAUAUACGCAGAGCUGUGUCCUCGUUAUAUCCGCAUGUCCUUUUCGUUAACGUACGUCAACGCGGCAUGACGUCCUUUUUUUUAGAUGGGGAAAGAUGUUGUGAUGUGAUUUUGCACUGGAUUUUCCUAGACUAACGGUUUAGUGCAAGAAAAUAUUAACCAAGUAUAUUAUUAAGAAGAACGUAUUGCGUUAGAAUUUUGUGUUUGCUUGAAUGUUGUAGAUAAAAAAUAUAUUUUAAGGUUAACGAAGAAGAAUAUUAUUAAUGCAAGAGGAAUAAUUUAUAACAUAUAGUCUCACUUCUUUGGGAAGCAUGCACCAAGUAAAAAAACUAAGCAAAUUAUCGCUGUACCUUGUUAAUCAAACAGAGGACGCAAGAAAGGUGUAAAAGACUGUUUUAUUAAGAACUCAGAUAAUUGAAUGGAAGGCACUCCUUAUGCUUACAAAACUAGCCAGCAUUUAUGACGUUACUCAAAAAGAAGGAAUUUCAAAUUAAAACUAAGGUAUUUUUAGAAGUUCCGAACUAGCACAUUUAUUAUUCUUUGCCUGUAAUGUACAGAUCCUAUAGUAACCUGUAGAUUUUCCGAAUGGAGUGGGGCAAAGAUAGGUUUUGGAGAAGAAAUUUCACAUUUGAAAAAUCAUUUUUCGUGUAUAUUAUUCUGAUUAAAUAAAAAUUUAUUUCUAAGUAUCAGA
RNAcentral lists this long non-coding RNA (1632 nucleotides) under Stegodyphus dumicola. Its description in RNAcentral is "uncharacterized LOC118185854". Lineage: Eukaryota; Metazoa; Arthropoda; Arachnida; Araneae; Eresidae. The record is from RNAcentral.